CCUACGGGUGGCUGCAGUGGGGAAUAUUGCACAAUGGGGGAAACCCUGAUGCAGCGACGCCGCGUGAGUGAAGAAGUCAUUCGUGGUGUAAAGCUCUAUCAGCAGGGAAGAAAAUGACGGUACCUGAGUAAGAAGCCCCGGCUAACUACGUUCCAGCAGCCGCGGUAAGACGUAGGGGGCAAGCGUUAUCCGGAUUUACUGGGUGUAAAGGGAGCGUAGUCGGGAUAGCAAGUCUGGAGUGAAGUGCUGGGGCUCAACCGUAGGACUGCAAUUGAAACUGUAAGUCUAGAGUACAGGAGAGGUAGGUGGAAUUCGUGGUGUAGCGGUGAAAUGCGUAGAGAUCACGAGGAACACCGAUUGCGAAGGCGGCUUACUAGAACGUAACUGACGCUGAUGCUCGAAAGCGUGGGGAGCAAACAGGAUUAGAUACCCCAGUAGUC
Molecule: ribosomal RNA, 440 nt
Filed under: uncultured bacterium
Lineage: Bacteria
Description: partial 16S ribosomal RNA
Rfam family: Bacterial small subunit ribosomal RNA
Source: RNAcentral